This 893-nucleotide ribosomal RNA is filed under the name Triticum aestivum (bread wheat). RNAcentral describes it as "partial small subunit ribosomal RNA". Lineage: Eukaryota; Viridiplantae; Streptophyta; Magnoliopsida; Poales; Poaceae. The record is from RNAcentral.
CAUCUCGUCUCGUCAGAACGUCUAUUCCUUUCGAGACCAAGACGCGUGUUCGAGGUUGGUUUAAGGCUGAGGAGACGCGUCUGGUUAGUGGUUACGGACCCGGAGGAAGGUGGUACAGGGACGGCUCCGGCUCGUCCACGAUGGCGACGACGAGCAGCAGCUGCGGCGGCGGCGGCUUCGUCGCUCGGCGCCUCUCGUUCGCCGCCGGAUAGGCGCCUCGCGCCGACGACGACUGGGCCUCCCGCGACCGCCCGCGACACCGCUGCCACUGCAACCGCCACCGCCCGGCACGGUCCCGCCGCCUCCUCCCGCCGCUCCCCCACCACCCGCGCAAGUUCAGCGACAAGCUGGGCUUGCUCCUCUGGUUCCGGCCCUUCCACGACGGGUUCCGCAUGGACUUCCGCCGCGCCCUCCACCACGCCUGCGAGGCCCUCAGCGACCCCCUCCCGCUGCGGCGGCCGCUGAGCCGGUCGAAGGCGUCCCCGCGGCUGAGGCGGUUCUGCAGGUAGGCUCUCAAGGAGCCGCCGACCUCUCCGGUCGGGCGGCAGCGGUUUCUCCUCAGCAUACACCGCGACCUCUUCCGGUAGUUUAGCGACCGCCUCAAGAUGAGGUUCCGUCCCGGGAAGCGGAGCGAAGGCCCUCUACAGUUUUUGUUCUAGGAGCUGCUGGAGUUGCGGCGUCUCCGGAUGGAGAUCCAGAGAAACGAAUCGCCGUAACAUAAAAGGCCGCAUUUAAGCAAUAUGAACACAGGAAAACAACGCUGCAAUACUACUCAUUUAUUAUUAACUGUACCUAGGGGUAAAGAGAGAACUAAGUUGCCUCCGCUUAUACCCGUGGUCCCAUCAUCUACGUAACCUCUCCACGACCUAGAAGUCAAGAUAAGAUUCAAAGGG